AGUGAACGCUGGCGGUAGGCCUAACACAUGCAAGUCGAACGGCAGCACAGUAAGAGCUUGCUCUUACGGGUGGCGAGUGGCGGACGGGUGAGGAAUACAUCGGAAUCUACUUUUUCGUGGGGGAUAACGUAGGGAAACUUACGCUAAUACCGCAUACGACCUACGGGUGAAAGCAGGGGAUCUUCGGACCUUGCGCGAUUGAAUGAGCCGAUGUCGGAUUAGCUAGUUGGCGGGGUAAAGGCCCACCAAGGCGACGAUCCGUAGCUGGUCUGAGAGGAUGAUCAGCCACACUGGAACUUAGACACGGUCCAGACUCCUACGGGAGGCAGCAGUGGGGAAUAUUGGACAAAGGGCGCAAGCCUGAUCCAGCCAUACCGCGUGGGUGAAGAAGGCCUUCGGGUUGUAAAGCCCUUUUGUUGGGAAAGAAAAGCAGCAGGUUAAUACCCCGCUGUUCUGACGGUACCCAAAGAAUAAGCACCGGCUAACUUCGUG
RNAcentral lists this ribosomal RNA (492 nucleotides) under uncultured bacterium. RNAcentral's name for it is "partial 16S ribosomal RNA". It matches the Rfam family "Bacterial small subunit ribosomal RNA", at positions 29 to 507 of the family's 1533-position model. The record is from RNAcentral.